RNAcentral lists this ribosomal RNA (459 nucleotides) under Streptococcus australis. RNAcentral's name for it is "bacterial SSU rRNA". It matches the Rfam family "Bacterial small subunit ribosomal RNA", at positions 28 to 471 of the family's 1533-position model. The record is from RNAcentral. Lineage: Bacteria; Bacillati; Bacillota; Bacilli; Lactobacillales; Streptococcaceae.
GAUGAACGCUGGCGGCGUGCCUAAUACAUGCAAGUAGAACGCUGAAGGAAGGAGCUUGCUCUUUCCGGAUGAGUUGCGAACGGGUGAGUAACGCGUAGGUAACCUGCCUGGUAGCGGGGGAUAACUAUUGGAAACGAUAGCUAAUACCGCAUAACAGUAGAUGUUGCAUGACAUCUGCUUGAAAGGGGCAAUUGCUCCACUACCAGAUGGACCUGCGUUGUAUUAGCUAGUUGGUGAGGUAACGGCUCACCAAGGCGACGAUACAUAGCCGACCUGAGAGGGUGAUCGACCACACUGGGACUGAGACACGGCCCAGACUCCUACGGGAGGCAGCAGUAGGGAAUCUUCGGCAAUGGACGGAAGUCUGACCGAGCAACGCCGCGUGAGUGAAGAAGGUUUUCGGAUCGUAAAGCUCUGUUGUAAGAGAAGAACGAGUGUGAGAGUGGAAAGUUCACACUG